This is a non-coding RNA of Acanthosepion pharaonis, 96 nucleotides long. The record is from the annotation of a GenBank genome assembly. Lineage: Eukaryota; Metazoa; Mollusca; Cephalopoda; Sepiida; Sepiidae.
ACGUUGAAACAUUGGUUCCCAUACGAUCACCAAAGUUAAGCAACUCCGAGCCUUGUCAGUACCUAUAUGAGUGACCGCUUGGGAACAACAUGUGCU